Molecule: transfer RNA, 78 nt
Filed under: Cosmarium thwaitesii var. penioides
Lineage: Eukaryota; Viridiplantae; Streptophyta; Zygnematophyceae; Desmidiales; Desmidiaceae
Description: tRNA-Gly
Rfam family: tRNA
About the family: Transfer RNA (tRNA) molecules are approximately 80 nucleotides in length.
Source: RNAcentral
UGGGGGUAUAGCUCAGUUGGUAGAGCGCCGCUUACCCUAUGGCGGAUGUCAGCGGUUCGAGUCCGCUUACCUCCAGCC